CCUACGGGUGGCUGCAGUGGGGAAUAUUGCACAAUGGGCGAAAGCCUGAUGCAGCAAUGCCGCGUGAAGGUAGACGGUUUUCGGAUUGUAAACUUCUAUUAAUAGGGAACAAAGAAAUGCCGGUACCUAAAUACGAAGCCCCCGCUAACUACGUGCCAGCAGCGGCGGUAAUACGUAGGGGGCAAGCGUUAUCCGGAAUUACUGGGUGCAAAGGGAGUGUAGGCGGCAAGGUAAGCGAUAUGUGAAUGCCUUAAGCUUAACUUAAGGAGUGCAUAACGAACUAUCUAGCUAGAGUACAGGAGAGGAAAGCGGAAUUCGUAGUGUAGCGGUGAAAUGCGUAGAUAUUAGGAAGAACACCAGUGGCGAAGGCGGCUUUCUGGACUGAAACUGACGCUGAGGCUCGAAAGUGUGGGUAUCAAACAGGAUUAGAUACCCGAGUAGUC
This 443-nucleotide ribosomal RNA is filed under the name uncultured bacterium. Its description in RNAcentral is "partial 16S ribosomal RNA". It matches the Rfam family "Bacterial small subunit ribosomal RNA", at positions 338 to 795 of the family's 1533-position model. The record is from RNAcentral.